This is a long non-coding RNA of Sapajus apella (tufted capuchin), 2787 nucleotides long. RefSeq lists it as uncharacterized. Lineage: Eukaryota; Metazoa; Chordata; Mammalia; Primates; Cebidae. The transcript is spliced from 2 exons. The record is from RefSeq and is a predicted model, not a curated record.
GGUUCCAAGGCCAUAUUGAUAUUCAUCAUCUCCCUCUGCCACUGCCUAGAUGUCCUUCACUCAUGGCCAGACUGCAGCUGAUGGAGGUUGUUUGCCUGAAGCCAUCAUUCCUGAGGAGUCUGAACCCCUAUUUUUCCUUUCCUUAUCAUGUCUUUACCAUAUACUGUACUUGACUGUUACCAUUAGAUGUGUAAGCACUGAGGAGCAUCUACUAGGUUAAGCUACAAAUUGCUGUCACCUACAGGGCAGAAGAGGUUCAGUGUAACCGCCUUGCCACUGAAAUGGUUGGCUCUUCUUUUUGAGGAAUUGUAACAUAGGGUACCGAGAGCUGGAUUCUGCUGAUGACAAGUUAGGCAACUUAGUAGCAGCAGUGGCUCUUGUCAUUAAUUAGCUGACAAAACGUUAGGCAAGUUAUUUAAUUUCUCUGGACCUCAGUUUUCACAUCUGAAAAACAUGGGCUGAUAGUAUCUGCCUCAUAGGUUUAUUGUAAAGGUUAAAUAAGCUAAUAUAUGUAAAUCACUUAGAAUAGUGCUUGACAAAUACUAGAUAAGUAUUAACUGUUACUGUUAUUAAUUCUUUAGUUUGAAGAGAGUGUGGUUGAGAGCUUUUUUCUUGAACUAGGGAGCGCAUAUAACAUCCAGACUUUUUGGAUAAUUAAAAGAAUCCAAGCUAGGAAAGACUAAACCAAAGUGACUUGAUAGAGCUGUUUAGAAUUGAGGGACCCCUAGGUAAACUAUGCCCAUGAGCUUACGAAGUCAGCUUCUGUAAUCUUCUCUGUAUAUCCGUAGGUGCCUCUCUGUAUAGAUUUGGUAUUUAAGUAUUAUCAGCUACUUUUACACUCAAGUUUCUGCCCCCAAAUCUGUAAAUGUAUUUGCAUUUUCCCUUACCUUUUAUCCCUUUAUUUUUUUGAAGAGGCAUUUUUACUAGUGUCUAAAGCUAAUCUUGCCACCUAUGUUCCUAAUUUCCUCAGCCAACCAUUAAGUGUUUUAUAUCCAUCAUGUAAUAGGCACUGGUAAUACUAAAUGUAUAAGGCCGGACAUGGUGGCUCACACUUGUAGUCCUAGCUACUUGGGAGGCUGAGGCGGGAGGAUUGCCUGAGCCUGGGGGUUUGAGGCUGCAGUGAGCUCUGAUCGUGUCUCUUCACUCCAGCCUGGGCAACAAAGCGAGUCCCUGUCUCAAAAACAAAAAACCGGUGCAUGGUGAUAAACCAUACUGGGGAUGUAUAGGGUGCUGCUAUAGGAGCAUAGCUAUUUUUGAAGCCAUGGGAAGACGAAAAUGUCCAAGGAGAGUAGAAAUUGAGGAGAAAAGAAUCCUGAGGACAAACAUGGAAAGACUGUGGAGAAUGAGGAAAUUGCUAGUAGAGAGGUAGAGUAGAGUGAACCAACAAGAGUCUAGUGUGACAGAAGCUGAGCAGAAAAGUGCAUCUCAGGACACAGGUAGUGAUCAACAGAUACUGCGAAACAGCCAGGUAAGGACCUUCUCCCUCUUUCCUCUGAAGGCUCUGUUGGAUAAUAUUUCUGUCUGAAUACCACGUGUUCCUGCUAUUCUCAUGUGUUGAGCUCCUGAACUCAGGUGAGUGUGUGUAUAAUGAGUUUGGUGGCUGAAGGAAACCACAUCCAUCCUCUGAAUUCACUUUGUUCUUGAGUGUCAAAUCUGAACUAGUAGCUCAAGUUCAGAUAAUGGCUUAAGUGCAGAUAAUGAGGAAUUUGUCAAAAACUGUGUCCGAAAUACAGGCAGGGAAAUACUGGUGGGAAGCAGGGAGAUGGGAUAUAUCUAAGGGAUAUUUGGGUCUCCCUUUAUCCUGGUUCAGUGAAACUUCAUUUGACAAGACAAUUAUUCCUCAAUUCCACAUUUUCUGUUUCCUUUAUUGUCCUAGAAAGAGUUGUUUUAAUUCCCUGUUGCUACCUCUAGACUCCCAGUGAGUGCUAAAUCCCUUUACAUCUGUUGUCUUCCCUCCGGAUUAAGUGGAAUCUAAAUUUACAAAGUUACUUAAGAUCCAUUUGUUGCUAAAUACAGGGGAUACAUUUCUGUUGUUAUCUCAGCUUCUAGGCAGCAUUUGCCAUUGUUAACCACCUAAACCUUAGAAUACUUUUGUCUUUUCUGAAACACCAAAGUUUCUGGUUUUUUCUUAUCCCUCUGGUUAGUUUAUUUGUUAGCUUUUCUUCUCUGGCUCUCAAAGGUUAUAUAUUGUUCUGUAGCAUAAGCCCUCGUCUUCUCACUCUCUAUUGCUGGCUGAUCUGAUUUACUGCUGUAGCACAAGUUACCCUAAUUAACGCUUUGGGACGUUAAAUGAGCCUUAUGACACUGAUACAACUCUAUGUAGAGAUCACUGUAUUAUUAUUAAUUUGGACAUUUUGAAUAUAACAGUCAUGUAGAUUAUACAGAAUUCACACUGUGCACAUCUGUAUAUCUGGAAUGAACUCAUAGUGCAACAAUAAUUGAAAUAUUCCUGUUAUUUAGGCUAGAAUCAAACUGGAAUCUUAGAGGCAACUCAAUUAUUCUUGACUGCUCAAAAAUAUAAUUUUCAAAUCCUUUUUAUUAACUGAAUUGGGAAUCUAUAAGCUAAGAAGUAAUUAUAUUAAGCACCCUUUUAAAAUCUAGAUUUAAAUCUGCGUAGUGUUGAUUUUUAAUUCUUCUCAGUGGUUAUUCAUCUUGUCACAGUUUCUAAAAUUGUACUUUAAAGUUCCAUGAACAUUUCAGUGGAAUCAGGUUUUGUUUGAUAAACACUGCCCUCCUGUGGUUAACGUAAGCUAACAGUUUGGCAAAACUGCUGUAGUCUUUUCACUU